GACGAACGCUGGCGGCGUGCUUAACACAUGCAAGUCGAACGGGUCUGCCCUGUUUUUUGCGGGGUGGGUCAGUGGCGAACGGGUGAGUAACACGUGAGUAACCUGCCCCUCACUUCUGGAUAACCGCUUGAAAGGGUGGCUAAUACGGGGUGUUCUGGCUGCGCCGCAUGGUGUGGCUGGGAAAGAUUCACUUUUGUGGUGUUUUGGUGGGGGAUGGGCUCGCGGCCUAUCAGCUUGUUGGUGGGGUGAUGGCCUGUCAAGGCUUUGACGGGUAGCCGGCCUGAGAGGGUGGGCGGUCACACUGGGACUGAGAUACGGCCCAGACUCCUGCGGGAGGCAGCAGUGGGGGGUAUUGCACAAUGGGCGGAGGCCUGAUGCAGCGACGUCGCGUGAGGGAUGGAGGCCUUCGGGUUGUGAACCUUUUUCGCCGGUGAAGAAGGUCCUGCUCUUUGUGGUGGGGUUGACGGUAGCCGGGUUAUGAAGCGCCGGCUAACUACGUG
This 500-nucleotide ribosomal RNA is filed under the name uncultured bacterium. RNAcentral describes it as "partial 16S ribosomal RNA". It matches the Rfam family "Bacterial small subunit ribosomal RNA", at positions 28 to 507 of the family's 1533-position model. The record is from RNAcentral.